Molecule: ribosomal RNA, 254 nt
Filed under: uncultured bacterium
Lineage: Bacteria
Description: partial 16S ribosomal RNA
Rfam family: Bacterial small subunit ribosomal RNA
Source: RNAcentral
UACGGGGGGAGCAAGCGUUGUUCGGAUUUACUGGGCGUAAAGGGCGCGUAGGCGGCCACCGCAAGUCAAUUGUGAAAUCUCCGGGCUUAACUCGGAAAGGUCAACUGAUACUGCGGGGCUAGAGUGCGGAAGGGGCAACUGGAAUUCUUGGUGUAGCGGUGAAAUGCGUAGAUAUCAAGAGGAACACCUGAGGUGAAGACGGGUUGCUGGGCCAACACUGACGCUGAGGCGCGAAAGCCAGGGGAGCAAACGGG